This 1552-nucleotide long non-coding RNA is filed under the name Dendronephthya gigantea. RNAcentral's name for it is "uncharacterized LOC114544592, transcript variant X1". Lineage: Eukaryota; Metazoa; Cnidaria; Anthozoa; Malacalcyonacea; Nephtheidae. The record is from RNAcentral.
UGGGGCGAUCAAUGCACAAAACAGCUUUACCAAAUCAAAGAAAAAUAUUAUAUAGAAACUAGAAAUUUUUCUUCAAUGAAUGUAUUUUAGCACAAUAUGAAGCUUAAAUAGGCGGGCUAAUCGCUGUAUAUACUAUACUAGAUGUACUGUCCGCCGCAAAACAAUCGCAAACUGUCGAAAUAUAUCAGCAAACUGUGCUGAAGUUGGCAUGACCUUCGUGCACUCAAUGUGUUAUUAAUAUGCUGCAAAUACCAAUGUCUGCAAACGAUUCAGACUCCGUGGUUUUACAGAAGGAAAAAGAAUGGCGUGAAGCUUCUCAACUCAGAGUUCAGGCACUGGAAGAAACUAUAGCUGAAAAAGAUAGGGAGUUCAGACACUAGGAAAAGUUGAGAUUUCGUAAGUUGAAGGAUGAUUUUGAGUAUAACUUCAAACCUAUAUUAGAACGAGAUCAAGAGUUAGAGAAAUAUGAUACGGUGAUUGGUAAAGUUAAGGAAGAGGAGCACGUUAAGACUGCUCAAGUUAGUGAAUUGUGUGUGAAGAUUGAUGAAUUCAACAUCAAAUUACAAAAUGAACAGAAGUCCAAAGAGGAGCUACAGAAACACUACCAAAAGAGAUUGCAAGAAUAUCAGAAUCAAUUUAAAGCUUUUCAAGAAGAGAAAGAUAAUGUAGUUGCUAAAGAACGGGAGGAGCUUUCGUCUUAUCGGAAAAAUCUGGAGCUACAAUUAAGGUGAUCAUAAUUAAUGAACUCUAAAGAGCAACAGAAAAUGAUUUGAGUUUCGUCAUCCAGAAAAUGUCAGUAAUUUUGAUGAAGCAAUAAGAAAAAGAGAACAAGAAUAUCGAUCAAAACUGGAUGAAACAAGAAGUCUCUUAUUGUCAAAUGACCUUAAGAUCUGAAGUUUAACAAAAGAACUGGAGUUAAUGCGAUGUGAUAGUCGUCGAUGUAAAGAGGAACUCGACAAGAGAGAACUGAGAACUCGGGAGCUGAAGAAGAUGCUUGAAGAAAAAGAUUGUAUGCUUUCUGAUUUGGAAAACACUCAUAAGUAUAAGUAAGGUCACAGAUCUCGAAGCACAACUGGAAAAUAUGAGGAGAAUGGGAGACAACUUACAGGAGGAUUUUAAAAGGAAACAUGCCGAAUUGGAUCGCUUUGCUCGGGAAAAAGAAGAAAUGUUGGCCAACGCUAAACGAGUUCGUCAGAAGCAACUAAACAUUGAUCAACUUCACUAUCAGUUGACAACAGAGAAUCGUCGGGCCAGCGAAGAAAUGAAUGUUUUGAAGCAGCAGAACUCUGAUCUCAAGCUGCCGGUAACCCAAGCAAGACAACAGGCUGACCAAUUUUACAAAACGGGUUUGGAGAGAAAUAUUGAUGCCGUAUCAUUAUAAUAAACCAGUUGUCAGCAUGCAUUAAAAUUGGAUCUUGCCAGUCACGGAAAACCUUUGAAUAUACGUACAAUCCAGAAAGUCAGUUUAUACAAGACCUUCGAGAGAAAGAAGUCAAGCUGCUCAACGGAUUAAUGGAUUAACAAAAGAACGCGAACAGUUGAUUAAAAUUGG